This is a long non-coding RNA of Myotis lucifugus (little brown bat), 720 nucleotides long. RefSeq lists it as uncharacterized. The record is from RefSeq and is a predicted model, not a curated record. Lineage: Eukaryota; Metazoa; Chordata; Mammalia; Chiroptera; Vespertilionidae. The transcript has 3 exons.
UCCCCCUUCCUCUCUGAAAUCAAUCAAAAGAUAUUGUUAAGAAUUUGAUAGCAUUGCUUUCCCGGUCCUCCCUGCUUCAUUUCUCAGAGCAACUCCCGGACUGAGCCUUCCUUUACUUUCUGCCACCGGCCGUUCACGCCACAGACUGGGCAGCUGCCAUGUGCCAGGCACUGGACUAGGCACGUAAGAAAUACCAGGGCUCUACCCCUUCUGGGGAUCGAGUUCAGAGAGGGCAACAGACUCGCAAGCGUCACACCAGCGAGGAGCCCCGGUCUCACCAUCGCGACAGCCCUGUGUUCUGGAUGCUUCUGCUGAACCGUGUGGAGCGUCCGCAAGCCUGCGUGAUGUGGAGCAGACCUUUUGACCUGCGUUGGACUUGACACGUGAGUGAAAGGAAGAAAAUGUCAUAGUGUGUGCACAUAUAGAUAUAUGCGUGAAUACCUACAAUAUCAGCCACCACUACAGGGAGAGACAUGAAGCCACAAUGUUCCCGGAGAGCAAAGGCGAGGCCGACAUUGCCAGCUGGUUGCCCUGUCACCAUCCGCUUCCUCUCAUCCCUGGAUAACAGAACCCCAACUUUAUUUGGGGUGCGGAUGCGUCCGGCGCGGAGACGGCUUCCCAGCCCACCUCAAGGGCCAGACUCCGGCCGAGGAGAUGUCAACACAGUGGUGUGUGGAAUGUCAGCGCAGGCCGCUUGACGCACGCUGACUCCCCGGGAAG